AAUAGAUACCCUGGUAGUCCAUGCCGUAAACGAUGAGUGCUAAGUGUUAGGGGGUUUCCGCUCCUUAGUGCUGCAGCUAACGCAUUAAGCACUCCGCCUGGGGAGUACGACCGCAAGGUUGAAACUCAAAGGAAUUGACGGGGGCCCGCACAAGCGGUGGAGCAUGUGGUUUAAUUCGAAGCAACGCGAAGAACCUUACCAGGUCUUGACAUCCCAGUGACCACUCUAGAGAUAGAGUUUUCCCUUCGGGGGCAUUGGUGACAGGUGGUGCAUGGUUGUCGUCAGCUCGUGUCGUGAGAUGUUGGGUUAAGUCCCGCAACGAGCGCAACCCUUGAUCUUAGUUGCCAUCAUUCAGUUGGGCACUCUAAGGUGACUGCCGGUGACAAACCGGAGGAAGGUGGGGAUGACGUCAAAUCAUCAUGCCCCUUAUGACCUGGGCUACACACGUGCUACAAUAGACGGUACAAAGAGUCGCUAACUCGCGAGAGUACGCUAAUCUCAUAAAACCGUUCUCAGUUCGGAUUGUAGG
RNAcentral lists this ribosomal RNA (529 nucleotides) under uncultured bacterium. RNAcentral describes it as "bacterial SSU rRNA". It matches the Rfam family "Bacterial small subunit ribosomal RNA", at positions 777 to 1304 of the family's 1533-position model. The record is from RNAcentral.